AAGCCUGGCCCUGGCCGUGGGUGUGUCCUUGCCCCUGUGAGCACUGGGUGGGAUGGCAGUGCUGGGCUCAGGUGCAGGGCAGGCGUUCCCUCCACCCUGUCAGCACCCAAGGUCACCUGUGUCCUCCCUUUCUUCAUUUAUUUAUUUUUUAGUCACUUGAGGCUGAUGUACCUCCAUGUGGUCUGGAUAAAUACAAGUUUUCAGACCUCUGCCUCAGCAAAGUUCCUGUGCAGAAACCUGGGCCUCUGUGAUUGAAUGCUGGAAGAUAGAAUCUGCAUUUAAAAAUCAGUAAAUUAAUGCUUGCAAAGAUGCUGUAUAAAUCUGUAGCUAAUAAGUACAGUAGAAAGCUAUUAGUUUAAGCAUCUAGCCUCCCUUAUUGCUCUGCCGCUCUUAUGAUAAUAAUGAUGCGUAGAAUGGCAAAAGAAAUUGAGCCAUUUUGCCCACUGAAAUGUACUGAAGGAGCUGAUACUUCUGUAGGAAUGGAAAGAAAGAAGUGAUGGAAAUGAAGACAGAGAAACAAAGGAGAUACUGAAGGAGAACUCAUAUUUGGAGAGUUAAUUCACAGGAAAGACAAAACUAUAUGCAUGUAAGGUCCCAAAGGACAGUGUUCAUCUCUGUAACCGAAAACUGGGAUUCUUUCUGACCAUGGCUAUGCUUGUGUGAAAUUUCAGAAAUGACAGAAAAUCUCCUCUGGACCAUCAGUUGCAUGCUUGAAUUCUCAAUGGACUUGUUAGUCACAGAAUAAGGAAAAUAAGGGAGAAGCCAGGUGUAUAAAAAAGGAUCAGAUUUAUGAAUGGCUAUAAUCUUUCUUGCUCACAGGUGAUACGUGGAGCUGUGCUGAAGGUCAAUAGUCUGAAAAUCUGAGUGAAAACUUUUGCAGUUAGAAGAACAGUUUUGCUCACAUACAUGUUUACAAAUUAAUUUUCAAGUCACAAUAGAUAAUCUCACUGUGAAAUGUAUCAAUUCUGAAUUAAUAUUAACUGUGUUUAGUGUCUGAGAAAAAAAAAAGUCAGUGAGCAUAACUUCUGUAAAAUCUAGGUAUUGUUUGACAGGUGAAAGUGUAAAAGUACUUUUAAAUAUGUUAACUGCAGCACCAGUUCCUGAUUCUAUAAAAUAUGACAUUCAUGAUUAAAAAUAAAAAUAACUACAUACGAUUUUAAAUUUUAUGCUGAAAGUUAUGAAAAAAAUUUUUAUUUAAAAGGCUGUCAACAAUACAGAUACCUGGCCUGAUAUUCAAAUAAUUAUUUUUAUACUCCCAGUGUGCCUUGUCUUAAAUGAAUCUGGUGGUCUUCAGUGCCUGAACAUGGCUGAGCAGGCUGAAGAGGUCCUCCAUGCCUUUGCCAUAGCUGUCACAACAGAAGUUACCACUAAUUCUGUCCAUUGCAUAAUUUUUCCUUUUGCAUAUUCCUCCCUAACUUACAUUAGUCAAAAUCAGCUGUGUUUGAAAAGCCCUACUCCUGAUCAUUUCAGCAGGAGGGAGUUUAGAGGGCAGCUGCAUGUGCAGUUCUGAUGGCAAAUCUGAGGGAGUGAUAAUCUCUCCUUAUCUUGGAUGCACUGUAAAAUUGCUGGGCUAAAUAGUAUUGCCAAGUCUGAGCACCUGCAAAAAUCAGGAUUUUGACUGAAAAUUUGUGACAUUUUAAAAAGUAAUACAUUUGAAAUUCUUUUUUUAUUUGAUGUAUGUUUUUUUGAAGAGGCUGAAUACAAAUUUCUAAACUUUCCUUAAAAAUUCUGAGUGCUCAUAAUUAGUUAUCUUUUAAAAUGAAAUUAGGUGCAAUAGUUAAUUAUUUGAUUCCAGCUGCUGUGAUUCAAGCAAAAACAUCACUGAAGUUUGAUAGCUGAUAUUGCAUGAGCCAAGUGUGCAGCAAAGAAGGACAAAUGAUUCAACAUGAAAUUUGGAUGUUUCUCUGUCCUGUUAAAAGAUCUAGAAUGAUCUUAUGAGGUCUUAAAAUUGCCACUGCUUUGGGAAGAAGGUCUUUGCACAGGAGUCAUCAUAGAAUGAGGACUUCUGAGGACGCCUUUGCAAGCCAGAUGGUACCAAGGACAGAAAGAGACCAGUGAGGGAAACGUUGGAGUCUGUGGUGUGAAGACAGUUUAGCAGAUUAUAGUACAGCCUCAAGCUGCUAAAGUGGUGAAUCCAAGGUGAUCUAGGUUAGACUGUGGUACAGAAGCAACACACUUUUAGUUACCCAGAGUCCUUCUGGCCUUUGGUUUCCUCAAUCUCUGUGUUCACCCAGCAGAAUUUUUGUGUACAUCCUUAUCAGAAUAAAAAACCCCCAAAAACUAUUAGAGAAGAUGUCCUGGAAUACU
Long non-coding RNA from Zonotrichia leucophrys gambelii, 2307 nucleotides. RefSeq lists it as uncharacterized. The record is from RefSeq and is a predicted model, not a curated record. Lineage: Eukaryota; Metazoa; Chordata; Aves; Passeriformes; Passerellidae. The transcript has 3 exons.